CUAUGCUUCAAUAGGUGGGAGGACCCCAGCUACGGUGGGCACUUAUCAUGUCCCCUCAAAACAAUUCGCCGCUGCCACAAAGUUUCAACAAAUCGACUGGACCCUCCAACCAUGUGUAUGCACCGCUGGCCCCUGCCCCUGACUUACGUAGCUAAGACAACUUUCAAUCGCUGUGGCAGCAGCCACUACUGCCGGAGCAGCAGACGGCACCUAGCAGGGCAUAUGGAAUUCAUGUGCCACAACCACAAUGUUUCAACAAGUUGACUGGACCCUGCAAUCCUGUGUAUGAACUGUUGGCCUCUGCCCCCAACAUACGUAGCUACAACAAUUAUCAAUCGCUGUGCCAGCAGCCACUACCUC
Molecule: long non-coding RNA, 360 nt
Organism: Lolium rigidum
Lineage: Eukaryota; Viridiplantae; Streptophyta; Magnoliopsida; Poales; Poaceae
Exons: 3
Source: RefSeq, a predicted model, not a curated record